CAGUAGCCGCGGUAAUACGUAGGUGGCAAGCGUUGUCCGGAAUUAUUGGGCGUAAAGGGCUCGCAGGCGGUUUCUUAAGUCCGAUGUGAAAGCCCACGGCUCAACCGUGGAGGGUCAUUGGAAACUGGAAAACUUGAGUGCAGAAGAGGAAAGUGGAAUUCCAUGUGUAGCGGUGAAAUGCGCAGAGAUAUGGAGGAACACCAGUGGCGAAGGCGACUUUCUGGUCUGUAACUGACGCUGAUGUGCGAAAGCGUGGGGAUCAAACAGGAUUAGAUACCCGCGUAGUCCCUGUCUCUUAUAC
Molecule: ribosomal RNA, 301 nt
Filed under: uncultured bacterium
Lineage: Bacteria
Description: partial 16S ribosomal RNA
Rfam family: Bacterial small subunit ribosomal RNA
Source: RNAcentral